Molecule: ribosomal RNA, 439 nt
Filed under: uncultured bacterium
Lineage: Bacteria
Description: partial 16S ribosomal RNA
Rfam family: Bacterial small subunit ribosomal RNA
Source: RNAcentral
CUACGGGUCGCUCCAGUGAGGAAUAUUGCACAAUGGGGGGAACCCUGAUGCAGCAACGCCGCGUGGAGGAUGACGCAUUUCGGUGUGUAAACUCCUUUUAUAUGUCAAGAAAAUGACGGUAGCAUAUGAAUAAGCACCGGCUAACUCCGUGCCAGCAGCCGCGGUAAUACGGAGGGUGCAAGCGUUACUCGGAAUCACUGGGCGUAAAGGACGCGUAGGCGGGUUGGAAAGUCAGGUGUGAAAUCCUACAGCUUAACUGUAGAACUGCACUUGAAAUUUCUAAUCUAGAGUAUGGGAGGGGGAGAUGGAAUUAGUGGUGUAGGGGUAAAAUCCGUAGAUAUCACUAGGAAUACCUAAAGCGAAGGCGAUCUCCUGGAACAUUACUGACGCUAAGGCGUGAAAGCGUGGGGAGCAAACAGGAUUAGAUACCCUAGUAGUC